AAUGAACAGCAGCUGUGUCUCCUGCAGGAGGAACUUUUUUAAGCUCCUCUUGUUGAUUGAGUUCUCAUUCAGUGUCUGACAAGAUGGGAGCUGAGUCAGUUUUGGUCCUUGUCAUUCUGGCUGUUUGCUUUGGCAAUGCUUCAGGUUUGCCGGUUGAGAGAAAAAGCCAGAAUGCUGAUGAUGAAAUAUAGAGGACAGAGAACGGAAUCUCUUCUUUAAGGAACAGCUUUGGUCUUCUACAGUCAGUGGAUUCCAGUAUAAAUAAAGUCGAUGAAGUACAAAUGGAAACCAAUAAGGUGGAAGCUGAGGAAUCAUUUAAGAGACGUGAAGUUCGGACUAGCGUGGUGUCCGACGCCGCCAGCAACCAGACUGUGUCCGACGCCGCCAGCAACCAGACUGUGUCCGACGCCGCCAGCAACCAGACUGUGUCCGACGCCGCCAGCAACCAGACUGUGUCCGACGCCGCCAGC
Long non-coding RNA from Oryzias melastigma (Indian medaka), 470 nucleotides. RefSeq lists it as uncharacterized. The record is from RefSeq and is a predicted model, not a curated record. NCBI's taxonomy places the organism in Eukaryota, Metazoa, Chordata, Actinopteri, Beloniformes, Adrianichthyidae. The transcript is spliced from 4 exons.